This 23-nucleotide small nuclear RNA is filed under the name Arabidopsis thaliana (thale cress). Its description in RNAcentral is "snRNA_11975". Lineage: Eukaryota; Viridiplantae; Streptophyta; Magnoliopsida; Brassicales; Brassicaceae. The record is from RNAcentral.
AACAGAAAGCGCGGAAAGAACAG